Molecule: long non-coding RNA, 2583 nt
Filed under: Nicotiana benthamiana
Lineage: Eukaryota; Viridiplantae; Streptophyta; Magnoliopsida; Solanales; Solanaceae
Description: long non-coding RNA (NBEN_LNC016255)
Source: RNAcentral
ACGUAACAAAUUUUACUAGAUGCGAUACUGAAAUUCCAACAUACAACGCUAUCCAAGAACUGGUGUCACAAUACACACAAACUUCUAAGAAUAAUACACACAACCGUCUAAAAGAAAUGAAUACUGUUUGUCUCGAACAUAUGAGAUAACAGACUGAAAGUAAAGAUAGAGUAGACGCCGGGUCAAACUGACGCCUGCAAGGCUACUUCGGUGUCUCGAUGAUCAAAAGCUAAAACCCGCACUACUGCUGCUGCUGCUGUCCAAAGCCUGAAUCUGCGCAAAAAGAGCGCAGAGUGUAGAAUCAGCACAACCAAUCUCAUGUGUUGGUAAGUGCCCGGUCUAUCCCCGCGAAGUAGUGACAAGGCUAGGACCAGACGCUCACAUGAACAUGUACAGUCUAAUACAUAUAUACAACAGAAAUAACAGGAAACAACAUUAAAUAUUUGGGAAGGGAAAACAUGCUCUGGGAUAGCGACAAAAUGUGAUAACAGGAGCAGAAUAAAUGAACUUCAAUUAAUGAGGAAGGGUAAAUAAAAAUAUGCACGGCACCAACCAUCGUGCUUUUACUCUCGUUCUCACCAAAUAAUCAUAUAAGAUGUACGACAUCACCCAUCGUACUUUUACUCUCGUUCUCACCAAAUAAUCAAUUAAGAUGUACGACAUCACCCAUCGUACUUUUACUCUCACAAUCUCAUAUCGAGGCACGGAAAGACCCAUCGUACAUAAUCACUCUUCCUUGUCACCGACAACUAUGGCCAAUAACAAUAAUCAUUGUAAUAUAUAUCUCAAGGCACGGAAAGACCCAUCGUGCAUAAUCACUCUUCUUUGUCACUGGCAACUAUGACCAGUAACAAUAAUCAUUGUCUAUAUUACUGGCAGAAAAUCAAUAAUAAUUAAUCAACUAUAUAUAUAAAUAUUACCGGUAUGAAACCAAUAAUCUUUUAUUUCCACAAUAUAAAUAUUACCGAUAUGAAACCAAUAAUCUUUUAUUUCAACAAUAUAAAUAUUACCAGUAUGAAACCAAUAAUAAUAAUUCCCUUCAUAUAACCAUAUAAGAUUAUAAACAUUUAAUCAAUUUAUGGCUCACGGUCAUGCUCGACCCCCAACGUAUAGAUACUUGUCACCAUGUCUAUACGUCGGACUCCACACAUAGCAAUUAGCAUAUAGACUCAACUCCUAUUCCCUCAAGGUAGGAUAGAUCAAACACUUACCUCGAAGGUAUACAGCAAACUCAAUCCUUAAGCAAUACCCUUUCCUUUAGAAUUUGGCUCCAAUUCAAUUGUAUCUAUACACAAUUGAUUUAAUAUCAUCAAUUCUACUCAACGAAAUAUUCCAAAUGGCUAAAUAUAUAUUUCACAACAUUCUACCCGGAAUAGUGAAGAUCGACCCCGGGCCCACGUGGUCAAAACACGAGGUUCGAACCAAUUUCUGACAACACAUUCAUCUACGAGUUCAAAUAUACAAUUUGAUCUUAAGUUUGACCCCAAAACAAGGUCUAAAUCACACAGGGAAAGCACCUAACUUUAUUUCUUUAUUGAUGUUGGUAUGACUUUGACUACCAUAUACAUUUUGUCUUAAUGUAGUAUUAAGGGACCUAAAAUAAUGCAGCUAGAAUCCCAUUAAAUAAAUAUUAUCAUACAUAUAUGCAUAAAUGUCCUUACUGGGACCGUUGGGGAAUUCACAUAAUAUGACUUCAUAUUGCAAGUUCAUGACAUUUGAUUUUAUACAUAAAGAUAAUAUUAUUUUCCUCCUAAAUUGUUGUUUUCAAACUUUCUAUUACAAUAAUCUUCAAAAAAAAUAUUUCCAGAAAAGUGAACCAACUUUGUUAUAUUACAUCCCCAAGUCUCGCUAUCUACCCCAACAAUUCAUUAUGAAACUAUUUUAACUUUCCUCUUGGUAUCGGACCUUUGCAGAACCUAAAAGUGAAUCUGCUUAAGGAAAUUAGUAGUUCCUUCUAUGAUUUGUCUCUACAAGAUCUUAACUUUCUUAGCUGAUUCUAAUCUUAUCAAAUAUGUUGAGCCUAUGACUUGGUAUAAAUGUGAUCAUGAGCUAUUCUUAAAGUAUUGUUACCCUGCCAUUUGAAGUAUACGUCAACAAUCAAGCUAUAAAACUUAGGAUAUCAUGCUAAUAAAGUUCUACUACCUUGAUUUUCAGUAGCAGCUCUUACUGGAGGUUCAAGACAACAGCUUGCUGCUGCCGCUGGUUCAACGACUGGAGGUGUUCGACUUCGACUGCUGCUGGACGAUAACGGAGCUGACUGGACGAUGGACUGGUUUGGAGAGGAAGAAGCAGCAGAGAUGGUGGCUUUUUGGCAGCUCACGUGAAGAAGAAGAAGAAGAAGCAAAGGGGGUGACGGAACAGUGGUCGUUUGGUCGUGAGUGGAGCUGGUUCUAUGUUUUUCCUUUUUUUAAAAAAUUUAUUUUGGUUGAGAAUUUGAUACAAUUGUCUCCACAAAUUCUUUUCUGAAUCCCUCGAGCAGAAGCACUAUUUUUGGUAUUUGAAUAUGAAAUGUUUGGUACUGAAAGUGACAAAUGACAUGGAAAGCAUUUGGUGAAUAUUCAAUGGGGGAUUCUUGAAAAUGGG